This 378-nucleotide unclassified non-coding RNA is filed under the name plant metagenome. Its description in RNAcentral is "partial contains 5.8S ribosomal RNA, internal transcribed spacer 2, and large subunit ribosomal RNA". The stretch from base 1 to 105 matches the Rfam family "5.8S ribosomal RNA", at positions 50 to 154 of the family's 154-position model. The record is from RNAcentral.
GAAAUGCGAUAAGUAAUGCGAAUUGCAGAAUUCAGUGAAUCAUCGAAUCUUUGAACGCACCUUGCGCUCCUUGGUAUUCCUUGGAGCAUCCCUGUUUGAGUAUCAUGAAAUCUUCAAAGUAAAUCUUUUGUUAACUCAAUUGGUUUCUACUUUGGUAUUGGAGGUCUUUGCAGCUUCACACCUGCUCCUCUUUGUUCAUUAGCUGGAUCUCAGUGUUAUGCUUGGUUCCACUCGGCGUGAUAAGUUAUCUAUCGCUGAGGACACUGUAAAAGGUGGCCAAGGUAAAUGCAGAUGAACCGCUUCUAAUAGUCCAUUGACUUGGACAAUACUUUUAUGAUCUGAUCUCAAAUCAGGUAGGACUACCCGCUGAACUUAAGC